Corapipo altera (White-ruffed manakin) is the source of this 177-nucleotide long non-coding RNA. RefSeq lists it as uncharacterized. NCBI's taxonomy places the organism in Eukaryota, Metazoa, Chordata, Aves, Passeriformes, Pipridae. The transcript is spliced from 3 exons. The record is from RefSeq and is a predicted model, not a curated record.
GAUGGAGCUCGUCAGCCCUAAUCGACAUGUAUGUGGAAGGAAUGUUUGAUCUGAAUGAGCAACUCAUGUCCUAUGGUUACCAACCAGCAGAUAAGAAGGAGCAACAUUUUGCUAAUAUGGUGGACAAGGCCACAAACAGAUACUUCCCAGCCUUUGAGAAGGUUUUGAAAGACCAUG